Molecule: ribosomal RNA, 1341 nt
Filed under: uncultured bacterium
Lineage: Bacteria
Description: partial 16S ribosomal RNA
Rfam family: Bacterial small subunit ribosomal RNA
Source: RNAcentral
GACGAACGCUGGCGGCGUGCUUAACACAUGCAAGUCGAACGGUAAGGCUCCAGCUUGCUGGGGUACACGAGUGGCGAACGGGUGAGUAACACGUGGGUGACCUGCCCUGCACUUCGGGAUAAGCCUGGGAAACUGGGUCUAAUACCGGAUAGGACUGCACCGUGAGGGUGUGGUGGAAAGUUUUUUCGGUGUGGGAUGGGCCCGCGGCCUAUCAGCUUGUUGGUGGGGUAAUGGCCUACCAAGGCGGCGACGGGUAGCCGGCCUGAGAGGGUGGACGGCCACAUUGGGACUGAGACACGGCCCAGACUCCUACGGGAGGCAGCAGUGGGGAAUAUUGCACAAUGGGCGGAAGCCUGAUGCAGCGACGCCGCGUGGGGGAUGACGGCCUUCGGGUUGUAAACUCCUUUCACCAUCGACGAAGGGUUUCUGACGGUAGAUGGAGAAGAAGCACCGGCUAACUACGUGCCAGCAGCCGCGGUAAUACGUAGGGUGCGAGCGUUGUCCGGAAUUACUGGGCGUAAAGAGCUCGUAGGUGGUUUGUCGCGUCGUCUGUGAAAUUCCGGGGCUUAACUCCGGGCGUGCAGGCGAUACGGGCAUAACUUGAGUACUGUAGGGGAGACUGGAAUUCCUGGUGUAGCGGUGAAAUGCGCAGAUAUCAGGAGGAACACCGGUGGCGAAGGCGGGUCUCUGGGCAGUAACUGACGCUGAGGAGCGAAAGCAUGGGGAACGAACAGGAUUAGAUACCCUGGUAGUCCAUGCCGUAAACGGUGGGCGCUAGGUGUGGGUUUCCUUCCACGGGAUCCGUGCCGUAGCUAACGCAUUAAGCGCCCCGCCUGGGGAGUACGGCCGCAAGGCUAAAACUCAAAGGAAUUGACGGGGGCCCGCACAAGCGGCGGAGCAUGUGGAUUAAUUCGAUGCAACGCGAAGAACCUUACCUGGGCUUGACAUAUACAGGAUCGCGCCAGAGAUGGUGUUUCCCUUGUGGCUUGUAUACAGGUGGUGCAUGGUUGUCGUCAGCUCGUGUCGUGAGAUGUUGGGUUAAGUCCCGCAACGAGCGCAACCCUUGUCUUAUGUUGCCAGCACGUUGUGGUGGGGACUCGUAAGAAACUGCCGGGGUUAACUCGGAGGAAGGUGGGGAUGACGUCAAAUCAUCAUGCCCCUUAUGUCCAGGGCUUCACACAUGCUACAAUGGUCGGUACAGUGGGUUGCCAGUCCGUGAGGGCGAGCUAAUCCCGCAAAGCCGGUCUCAGUUCGGAUCGGGGUCUGCAACUCGACCCCGUGAAGUCGGAGUCGCUAGUAAUCGCAGAUCAGCAACGCUGCGGUGAAUACGUUCCCGGGCCU